Long non-coding RNA from Lynx canadensis (Canada lynx), 144 nucleotides. RefSeq lists it as uncharacterized. The record is from RefSeq and is a predicted model, not a curated record. Lineage: Eukaryota; Metazoa; Chordata; Mammalia; Carnivora; Felidae. The transcript has 3 exons.
UAUGGUCAAUUAAUCUUUGACAAAGGAGUCAAGAAUAUGCAAUGGAGAAAGAACAGUUUCUUCAAUAAGUGAUGGUGGGAAAAAUGGACAGCCACAUGCAAAAGAAUGUAACUGUAUCCCUAUCUUACACCAUACACAAAAAUA